GACGACGUAGCGGACGAGGUACUUAAUACAUGGCAAGGUCGGAGGGCAUACGAAGGUACACGAAAGUGUAUUGUUGGUCGACCGGCGGACGGGUGAGUAAUAGGUAGGUAACCUACCUCAUACUGAGGCAUAGCUGGGAGAAAUUCCAGGUAAUUCCUCAUGAGGUUAUAUGACACAUGUGAUAUAAUCAAAGGUAUCGCAAGGUACUGGUAUGAGAUGGGCUUACUGACCAUUAGCUAGUUGGUGAGAUAAGAGCUCACCAAGGCGAAGAUGGUUAGGGGUUUUGAGAGAGAGAUCCCCCACAUUGGAACUGAGAUACGGUCCAGACUCCUACGGGAGGCAGCAGUAGGGAAUAUUGGGCAAUGGGCGGAAGCCUGACCCAGCCAUGCCGCGUGAAGGAAGACGGCCUUAUGGGUUGUAAACUUCUUUACUAUGCGACUAACUAGAUUUACGAGAUAAUUCUAUAGAAUGUAGCAUAGCAAAAAGCACCGGCUAACUCCGUG
This 503-nucleotide ribosomal RNA is filed under the name uncultured bacterium. RNAcentral describes it as "bacterial SSU rRNA". It matches the Rfam family "Bacterial small subunit ribosomal RNA", at positions 39 to 507 of the family's 1533-position model. The record is from RNAcentral.